Molecule: long non-coding RNA, 2934 nt
Organism: Acinonyx jubatus (cheetah)
Lineage: Eukaryota; Metazoa; Chordata; Mammalia; Carnivora; Felidae
Exons: 4
Source: RefSeq, a predicted model, not a curated record
CCUGGGCUAGGGCCCAACAUGGCUCCAGGGGAGGGGCCCGGGCCCGGGGAAGGGCCUGGCCGAGGAGUUCCGCCCAGCGGUGGGUCUGGAGUGGACAUCUUCACAGGAGCAGCACACAGUGGUCUCCUGCUAGAAAGAAAGCCGCCGUCGCCUUCCCGGCGCCGCCCCCGCCCCUCCGCGCGGGGCCGGGGGCAGAGUGGGCGUCUCGCCUCUCCUCACGAAACAAAGAAGCCGCCGCCGCCACCGCCGCCGAGAGAGGGUAAGUCUCGCGCGCGCGCCCGCUCGCCUCGGCCGCCCCCCCACGCCGCCCGCGCCCCCGCUGCGCGCGCACUCGCCAGCUCCCCUCCCCCCUACGGUCGGCUUCUCUCGCUUCCGCCGCCCGCUCGGCCUCGUGCGCGCGCCCGUCCGCCCUUCCGCUCCCAGCGCGCGUGCGCGUCCGCUCGGGGCCUAGCGGAGGUAGGCGGGACCAGAGAAAGCUGGCGCUCCAGAUGUUCCCCCCCGACUCAGUCCGGGAAGGUCGUGCUCAUGCGCACCGGCGUCUUCGUCCUCACGCUGCGUCCCCACGCUGCCGAGCAUGCGCAGAGCGGGCGCCACUGCGGCGGUGGCUGCGUUGGUUCCCGCGGCUGCGGCGGGGGGUUGGGGGAUGGGAUGGGAUGGAAUGGCGGCGGGGUCUGCAGGGAAGGGUUGGCCGAGGGGCUUUGAGACCCGCAGAAGAAGACCCGAGGCCGUGGUGUUUCUUAAACGUCCUUGACAUGCUAAACACUGAGCUGGUCCCUGGCCUCCAGUGGUCCACUGAGCAGACAGUGUCCUGGUUGUGAUGUGGACAAUCUGUGAGUUCAGGGGAGACCGUGAGGACAUGAGAAUGGCGGCAAGGAAGGAGCUGGAGUCCUGCUUUAAGGGCAAGAUGUCUAUCGGGAACAGUUUCGUAGACCAGUGCUUCGUGGCUGUACGUUGGGAUCCCAGUGUAAAUGAAACUGGUGCCUUUAACGCUCAGGUCUGUGAUACGUGUUCAGUUCAUUUUUAUGUGUGGCGUGAGGUAUAAUCGAAGUUCAUUGUUUUCUGGAGGGAUAUCUAAUUGCCCCAGCCCCAGUCCUGAAAUGUCUGCUCCCACAUUGAAUUACUGUGGCACUUUUGUAAAAAUCGAUUCACUGUUUAAGCAUGAGUCUGAUUCUGGAUUCCCGUGUUUUGUUGUUGAUCGAUAGGUCUACGUUAUGCUAAGACCACACUGUCUUGAUAAGUGUAGCUUUAUAAUAACUUUUGAAAUCAGGUACUCCUCCGAAUUUGCCCUUUUUAAAAAUUGUUUUGGUUACUCUAGGUCCUUGCAUUUCUGUGUAAAUUUUAGAAUCAGCCUGUCAAUUUCUACCAAAAACUGCUGGGAUUUUGAGUGGGAUCACAUUGAAUCUGUAGGCCAAUUUGGGGAGAAGUAUUACCUUAAUAUUACAUCCUCUGAUCCAUGAACAUGGUGUAUCUGUUUAUUUAGGUCUUCUCUAACUUCUAUUAAAUUUGCUCUUUUCAGGCCUUUCCUAUUCCACUGGAAUGACUCUUUAAGGUCACAGGCACCUGCCUGUUGCUAAAUGCAGGAGUCAAUUCUCAUCUUCACUUUCCCUGACCUUCUGGCAACAGUUGACACGUUACCUCCUUAGAACAUUCUAUUCAUGGGGCGCCUGGGUGGGUGGCUCAGUCGGUUGAGCGUCUGACUUCAACUCAGACCAUGAUCUAGUGGUUCACGAGUUCGAGCCCCACGUCGGGCUCUGUGCUAACAGCUCAGAACCUGGAGCCUGCUUUGGAUUCUCUCUCUCUCUCAAAACUAAAUAAACAUUAAAAAUUAAAAAAUAAAAAAGACAUUGUAUUCACUUGGCUUCCAACGCACCACACGCUUCAUACACUUCUGGGUUUCUUCCCAUGCCAAUAGCUGCUCUUUCCCAGGCUCCCUUGUAGCUUCCUCUUCUUCCCAGUUACUUCUUGAUAACGAACUACCCCAGGACUUGGUCCCCUAUCUGUAUUCACACCCUUAGCUUCCAGUCUUGUGACCUUAAGAAACCAUCUCCAUCCUAGGUAUCUAACCCAAAGGAAUAGAAAGUAGGUACUUGAACAAAUACUUGAAAACAAAUAUUUAUUGCUGUGCCACUACUCACCAAAGCUAAAAGUUGGAAACAGUCCAAGUAUCUGUUAACAGAUGAAUGGAUGGACUGUGGUGCACACAUUCAAUGGAAUGUUCAUCCACAAAAAGCAAUGAAGUUCUAAUACAUGCUAUGACGUGGGUGAACCUUGAAACCGUGCUAAAUAAAAGAAAUCAGACAGUCUGUUGCAAAUGCCCAGAAUAGGCAAAUCCAUACAGACAGAAAGCAGAUUGCCCAGGGUCUUGGGAGAAGGGGGAGGGAAUACCUGCUUGACUGGUUCAGGGUUUUAUUUGGGGAUGAUGAAAAUAUUUUGGAACUAGAUAGACGCGGAGCUUACACAUUGUGAAUGCACUAGAUACCACUGAGUUGCUCAUUUUCUUUUUAUUUUAUUUUAUUUUUUUGUUUAUUUUGAGAGAGAGAGAGAGAGCGCGAAUGGAAGAAGGGCAGAGAGAGAGAGAAUCCCCAGCAGGCUCCAUACCACCAGUGCAGAGCCUGAUGCAGGGCUCAACUCAUGAACCAUGAGAUCAUGACCUGAGCCGAAAUCAAGAGUCCAGCAGUUGUCCAAUUAGCCAACUGAGCUACCCAGGCGCCCCUGAAUUGUUCAUUUUAAAAUGUCUAAUUCUGUAGGGCGCCUGGGUGGCUCAGUCGGUUAAGCAUCCGACUUCAGCUCACAAUCUCACGGUCCGUGAGUUCGAGCCCCACGUCGGGCUCUGGGCUGACAGCUCGGAGCCUGGAGCCUGCUUCGGAUUCUGUGUCUCCCUCUCUCUCUGCCCCUCCCCCACUUGCACACGUGCUUGCUCUCGCGCUCUCUCUC